Molecule: ribosomal RNA, 438 nt
Filed under: uncultured bacterium
Lineage: Bacteria
Description: bacterial SSU rRNA
Rfam family: Bacterial small subunit ribosomal RNA
Source: RNAcentral
GCAUAACGCGAAGAACCUUACCCACCUUUGACAUGGCAGGAACUUACCAGAGAUGGUUUGGUGCUCGAAAGAGAACCUGCACACAGGUGCUGCAUGGCUGUCGUCAGCUCGUGUCGUGAGAUGUUGGGUUAAGUCCCGCAACGAGCGCAACCCUUGCCAUUAGUUGCUACAUUCAGUUGAGCACUCUAAUGGGACUGCCGGUGACAAACCGGAGGAAGGUGGGGAUGACGUCAAGUCCUCAUGGCCCUUAUAGGUGGGGCUACACACGUCAUACAAUGGCUGGUACAAAGGGUUGCCAACCCGCGAGGGGGAGCUAAUCCCAUAAAGCCAGUCGUAGUCCGGAUCGCAGUCUGCAACUCGACUGCGUGAAGUCGGAAUCGCUAGUAAUCGUGGAUCAGAAUGUCACGGUGAAUACGUUCCCGGGUCUUGUACACACCG